RNAcentral lists this ribosomal RNA (651 nucleotides) under Salmonella enterica subsp. enterica serovar Manhattan. RNAcentral describes it as "partial 23S ribosomal RNA". It matches the Rfam family "Bacterial large subunit ribosomal RNA", at positions 540 to 1190 of the family's 2925-position model. Lineage: Bacteria; Pseudomonadati; Pseudomonadota; Gammaproteobacteria; Enterobacterales; Enterobacteriaceae. The record is from RNAcentral.
GAAAAAGAACCUGAAACCGUGUACGUACAAGCAGUGGGAGCACAGGUUUACCUGUGUGACUGCGUACCUUUUGUAUAAUGGGUCAGCGACUUAUAUUCUGUAGCAAGGUUAACCGCAUAGGGGAGCCGGAGGGAAACCGAGUCUUAACCGGGCGUUAAGUUGCAGGGUAUAGACCCGAAACCCGGUGAUCUAGCCAUGGGCAGGUUGAAGGUUGGGUAACACUAACUGGAGGACCGAACCGACUAAUGUUGAAAAAUUAGCGGAUGACCUGUGGCUGGGGGUGAAAGGCCAAUCAAACCGGGAGAUAGCUGGUUCUCCCCGAAAGCUAUUUAGGUAGCGCCUCGUGAAUUCAUCUCCGGGGGUAGAGCACUGUUUCGGCUAGGGGGCCAUCCCGGCUUACCAACCCGAUGCAAACUGCGAAUACCGGAGAAUGUUAUCACGGGAGACACACGGCGGGUGCUAACGUCCGUCGUGAAGAGGGAAACAACCCAGACCGCCAGCUAAGGUCCCAAAGUCAUGGUUAAGUGGGAAACGAUGUGGGAAGGCCCAGACAGCCAGGAUGUUGGCUUAGAAGCAGCCAUCAUUUAAAGAAAGCGUAAUAGCUCACUGGUCGAGUCGGCCUGCGCGGAAGAUGUAACGGGGCUAAACCAU